GGUGAGGGAGCAGGUGGAGUGUCAGGAAUGGGAGGAAGGUGAGGAACAGGUGGAGUGAGGAAUGGGAAGGUGAGGGGGCAAGUGGAAUGUCAGAGGAAUGGGAAGGUGAGAAGGAGCAGGUGGAAUGUCAGGAGUGGGAAAGUGAGGGAGCAGGAAGAGUGUCAGGAAUGGGAAGAUGAAGAGGGAACAGGUGGAAUGUCAGGAGUGGGAAGGUGAGGAACAGAUGGAGUGUAAGGAAUGGGAAGGUGAGGAGGAGAUGGAGUGUCAGGAGUGGGAAAGUGAAGGAGGAGAUGGAAUGUCAGAGGAGUGGGAGAGGUGAAGAGGGAGUAGAUGGAAUGUCAGAGGAGUGGGAAAGGUGAGGAUGGAGCAAGUGGAGUGUCAGGAAUGGGAAGGUGAGGAACAGGUGGAGUGAGGAAUGGGAAGGUGAGAAGGAGCAGGUGGAAUGUCAGGAGUGGGAAGGUGAGGGAACAGGAAGAGUGUCAGGAAUGGGAAGGUGAGGAGGGAGCAGGUGGAAUGUCAGGAGUGGGAAGGUGAGGAGGAGCAGUGGAGUGAGGAAUGGGAAGGUGAGGAACAGAUGGAAUGUGAGGAAUGGGAAGGUGAGGAGGAGAUGGAGUGUCAGGAGUGGGAAAGUGAGGGAGCAGGUGGAAUGUCAGGAGUGGGAAGGUGAGGAUGGAACAAGUGGAGUGUCAGGAAUGGGAAGGUGAGGAACAGGUGGAGUGAGGAAUGGGAAAGUGAGGGAGCAGGUGGAAUAUCACAGGAAUGGGAAGGGCUCCAAGAGGGAUGUGUGAGGCAGCUGCUAAAAGGCUGGGAAGUUGUUUUGCACUUCCCAGCUCGGCCCUGGCACCAUCCCGAAGAUCCCAGCUGGGAAUUGCUGCUCUUCCCGAGCUGUGAAAUCCGGGGAUGCAUCUGCUGGAGGGAGAGGAGCUGCUGUGAGUGUCUGUGCCCAGAGCCAGCCCACACACAGCUGGAGCUCCUGGCACCCUCGGGGAGCUCUGCAUGGAAGGGUUUCCAUGGAUUUGGGCAGGGAUCCAUGCCAGGUCCUGGAAGCAGUGCCAGCUGUCCCUGAGGGAGCAUC
Molecule: long non-coding RNA, 1075 nt
Organism: Chiroxiphia lanceolata (lance-tailed manakin)
Lineage: Eukaryota; Metazoa; Chordata; Aves; Passeriformes; Pipridae
Exons: 3
Source: RefSeq, a predicted model, not a curated record